RNAcentral lists this ribosomal RNA (253 nucleotides) under uncultured bacterium. RNAcentral's name for it is "partial 16S ribosomal RNA". It matches the Rfam family "Bacterial small subunit ribosomal RNA", at positions 524 to 776 of the family's 1533-position model. The record is from RNAcentral.
UACGGAGGGGGCUAGCGUUGUUCGGAAUUACUGGGCGUAAAGCGCACGUAGGUGGCUUUGUAAGUUAGAGGUGAAAGCCCGGGGCUCAACUCCGGAAUUGCCUUUAAGACUGCAUCGCUAGAACGUCGGAGAGGUAAGUGGAAUUCCGAGUGUAGAGGUGAAAUUCGUAGAUAUUAGGAAGAACACCGGUGGCGAAGGCGGCCCACUGGAUCGGUACUGACGCUGAGGUGCGAAAGCGUGGGGAGCAAACAGG